RNAcentral lists this ribosomal RNA (466 nucleotides) under uncultured bacterium. Its description in RNAcentral is "partial 16S ribosomal RNA". It matches the Rfam family "Bacterial small subunit ribosomal RNA", at positions 29 to 507 of the family's 1533-position model. The record is from RNAcentral.
AUGCACGCUGGCGGCGUGCUUAACACAUGCAAGUCGAACGGAAAGGCUCCUGCUUGCAGGGGUACUCGAGUGGCGAACGGGUGAGUAACACGUGGGUGAUCUGCCCUGCACUUCGGGAUAAGCCUGGGAAACUGGGUCUAAUACCGGAUAGGACCACAUUUUGGAUGGUGUGGUGGAAAGUUUUUCGGUGUGGGAUGGGCUCGCGGCCUAUCAGCUUGUUGGUGGGGUAAUGGCCUACCAAGGCGUCGACGGGUAGCCGGCCUGAGAGGGUGUACGGCCACAUUGGGACUGAGAUACGGCCCAGACUCCUACGGGAGGCAGCAGUGGGGAAUAUUGCACAAUGGGCGCAAGCCUGAUGCAGCGACGCCGCGUGGGGGAUGACGGCCUUCGGGUUGUAAACUCCUUUCGCUAGGGACGAAGCGUUUUUGUGACGGUACCUGGAGAAGAAGCACCGGCUAACUACGUG